GAUGAACGCUAGCGGCAGGCUUAACACAUGCAAGUCGAGGGGUAUAUGUCUUCGGAUAUAGAGACCGGCGCACGGGUGCGUAACGCGUAUGCAAUCGGCCUUUCACAGAGGGAUAGCCCAGAGAAAUUUGGAUUAAUACCUCAUAGUAUUAUGUUUUGGCAUCGAGAUAUAAUUAAAGUCACAACGGUGAAAGAUGAGCA
This 200-nucleotide ribosomal RNA is filed under the name uncultured bacterium. RNAcentral describes it as "partial 16S ribosomal RNA". It matches the Rfam family "Bacterial small subunit ribosomal RNA", at positions 28 to 231 of the family's 1533-position model. The record is from RNAcentral.